UACGGGAGGCAGCAGUGGGGAAUAUUGCACAAUGGGCGAAAGCCUGAUGCAGCGACGCCGCGUGAGUGAAGAAGUAUUUCGGUAUGUAAAGCUCUAUCAGCAGGGAAGAAAGGCCCGUUAAGGGAGAUGACGGUACCUGACUAAGAAGCCCCGGCUAACUACGUGCCAGCAGCCGCGGUAAU
This 182-nucleotide ribosomal RNA is filed under the name uncultured rumen bacterium. RNAcentral's name for it is "partial 16S ribosomal RNA". It matches the Rfam family "Bacterial small subunit ribosomal RNA", at positions 340 to 524 of the family's 1533-position model. The record is from RNAcentral.